This 253-nucleotide ribosomal RNA is filed under the name uncultured bacterium. Its description in RNAcentral is "partial 16S ribosomal RNA". It matches the Rfam family "Bacterial small subunit ribosomal RNA", at positions 524 to 776 of the family's 1533-position model. The record is from RNAcentral.
GACGGAGGGUGCUAGCGUUGUUCGGAUUUACUGGGCGUAAAGGGCGCGUAGGCGGCCUUCUCAGUCGGGUGUGAAAGCCCGGGGCUCAACCCCGGAACGGCACCCGAGACGGGAAGGCUGGAGACCGGGAGAGGAGGGUGGAAUAGCCAGUGUAGAGGUGAAAUUCGUAGAUAUUGGCUGGAACACCGGUGGCGAAAGCGGCUCUCUGGCCCGGUACUGACGCUGAGGUGCGAAAGCGUGGGGAGCAAACAGG